This 253-nucleotide ribosomal RNA is filed under the name uncultured bacterium. Its description in RNAcentral is "partial 16S ribosomal RNA". It matches the Rfam family "Bacterial small subunit ribosomal RNA", at positions 524 to 776 of the family's 1533-position model. The record is from RNAcentral.
UACGUAGGCAGCAAGCGUUGUUCGGAGUUACUGGGCGUAAAGGGUGCGUAGGCGGUUGUUUAAGUUUGGUGUGAAAUCUCCCGGCUCAACUGGGAGGGUGCGCCGAAUACUGAAUGACUAGAGUGCGGGAGAGGAGAGUGGAAUUCCUGGUGUAGCGGUGAAAUGCGUAGAUAUCAGGAGGAACACCGGUGGUGUAGACGGCUCUCUGGACCGUAACUGACGCUGAGGCACGAAAGCGUGGGUAGCAGACAGG